UCUUCGCUCAAGGACUUCUUCAAAAUAAUAUCAUGUUAAGCUGUUUGGAGAUUGUGUCCAUGUUGAUGCAUGGCUUGACAAUACGACAAGAAAAAAGAUCCUAUAGUUUGGAUAAACAUACUGUUUCUACAUACCCUGCCUUUACCUACUUAACACUCACAAUUCACUGUGGGAAACUAGAUGUUUGAAAAACACUCAGCCUCAGUCCUCCUUUCCAGUACAUCACAUGAACUGAACCCUCUCUAUAUAAACACUGAAAUACCAGAAAUACCACUGCUGAAGAAGCUUAUUCAUCCUGAGUUUUAUAGUGUCUGUCUGACUGAUUUGUCAAAGAGAUUUGCAGAUAGAGGCAAAACAGAACUAUUUUGAUGCCAGGUUUCUUAAAGCAGUAUUCAAAGCAGUAGAUACAUGUGAAAUGAAUCAGAGCAUAAAAGGUUCCUAACUUUUCCAUUUUCACUUUUUCCCCCUUUUCUUUCCCAGUUCUUUGGCAAAUCUCUGUCUCCUGAGCAGAUCAAAUUUCGGACUCCACUGUUUACGCAAGAGGAAAAUCAGAAAAUUCCCAUAUAGAAAAGAGUGUUUGCAGUUUGUAAACAAUGUGGAUGUGACAUCGUUAAUUUGUCUAUCACUAUGAAACUCUACGAGGAUCCUGAAUUUAAAAUUCACAUCUUAGGUCAGUGACUACACCACAGUGCACAGAAGCAACAUAUUUAUUGCAGAAUAUCUGUGAAGUGCCCACAACUUUCCUCUGCUGGCUGCAAUCCCCAAGGUUUCUGUGUGACACCAAGAAAAAUAGAGACAGCAUUAAAUCUGGGGGAAAUAUUUGUUUUGCUUAAAGGAACUUCAGCAACUGUUGAGAGAUGGCAUUGCAUUAUUAGUUUGUCCAGAAGCUGCUGAUACAUAAAUUAUUUCAGUCCUUGCACUCCAGCUAGAUCAUGACAAAGUAAGAUCAAUCUAUUUGUGGAUAGAUGCCCUAUAUUUUGGAUACAGGCUGGAAAGCAGAGGAUCUGAUGGGAACAAAAAUGUUCAGACUUUUGGACAAUUACCAGUCCCUUGAAAAAUAAGAUGGAAGAUGAAGUUAGCUGGGCAUCUUGGAGGACAUACUUGUCAUAUAAACACCAGCUGUUGUAUAGUGGAGUUAGAAGAUUUAGAAAUUGAAAUAGACUUCAAUGCACACUCUAACUAACUUUUCAUAAUGAUAUUUACUAUUUACAUCUAUCCUCAUUAUAAGUACUGAAGUUAAUUUUUUUUUUUCUCAGGAAUCUCAUUAAAAAUUAUUUUGUUUUGUGCUCCCUGUCAUUUAUGUUUAACAAAGACAGUUAACAAAAUAUAUAUAUAUAUAAUAAAUAUCUCCCUUUCUCAUCUCAGGUAACAAAUAGUCUUUCUGUAAUCAGACAUUCAUCAGAGUCACUAGCUUAAUCAUUUCAGCUUUGGUUUCUCUUUUGACACACACACACAUAUAUAUCUUUACUAAGGUUCUGAAUUAAUUAGGAAAAAAAAACAAAAAACUCUAAUUACAUUUUAGAAGUUAUAUUAGUACGGUUUCCACUCAAAUUAAUAAUGACCUAGAAAAUGUUUCUGACAUCCAAGAAGAAGAAAAGAAAAAAAAAAAAAAAGUAAUCAAAAACAUGAAAGCAAGGAAAAACUUACCACUUUCAACAUGAAGUCAUUUGAUUUCCAAAAUAAAAACAUCCCUUUCUAAUACAAUUUCUUCUGACCUUCAUCUUGAAACAAAAGGGAAGUCAUCUGGCUACAUUCUUAUUUAGAAAGUUUUAAUCUCUGCACAAUACACAUAAAACUUUGCAUUUUGACUUUUUGAAUGCAAUGAAAGAAGGAUGCAGACACAAUUCUGUAACAUAACAUUAGAAUCCCAACUUCUCACAUAUGUGUAGACACCUGAAACCACUAAAUACUUCAGAUAAACAUGAAAAAAAAAAAAAAAAAAAAAAAAA
Non-coding RNA from Coturnix japonica (Japanese quail), 1949 nucleotides. The record is from RefSeq and is a predicted model, not a curated record. NCBI's taxonomy places the organism in Eukaryota, Metazoa, Chordata, Aves, Galliformes, Phasianidae.